This 109-nucleotide non-coding RNA is filed under the name Flagellimonas eckloniae. RNAcentral's name for it is "SAM riboswitch aptamer (S box leader)". It matches the Rfam family "SAM riboswitch aptamer (S box leader)". From Rfam's summary of the family: The SAM riboswitch is found upstream of a number of genes which code for proteins involved in methionine or cysteine biosynthesis in Gram-positive bacteria. The SAM riboswitch acts at the level of transcription termination control. Lineage: Bacteria; Pseudomonadati; Bacteroidota; Flavobacteriia; Flavobacteriales; Flavobacteriaceae. RNAcentral also lists the same sequence under 1 other name. The record is from Rfam by way of RNAcentral.
UAGUUAUCAAGAAAGGUGGAGGGAAUAGACCCUGUGAAGCCUUAGCAACCCUUGGCGCCCAGUGCCAAGAAGGUGCUAAAUUCUAUCCCAAUUUGGGAAUAGAUAACAA